This 205-nucleotide long non-coding RNA is filed under the name Physcomitrium patens. RNAcentral describes it as "long non-coding RNA (PPAT_LNC001374)". The record is from RNAcentral. Lineage: Eukaryota; Viridiplantae; Streptophyta; Bryopsida; Funariales; Funariaceae.
GAAAUUAUGUGAAUUCAGAUUGUUGGAGUGAAGUCUGUUAUUCUUGGUGUUGGAUAGAAAUUAUUAUGUUCUGAGUAGUCUUUUGAGAGUGCAGGAUUGCACACUAUUGUUAUCAGUUGAUGAAUGAGUAUUGUUAUUGAGAGAAAGCAUUGUAAUAUUUUUUAGUAUUUUAGUGGUUUGAAAUACAGCUAAUUGUGUGAUCCUA